Molecule: unclassified non-coding RNA, 374 nt
Filed under: fungal sp.
Lineage: Eukaryota; Fungi
Description: partial internal transcribed spacer region
Rfam family: Eukaryotic small subunit ribosomal RNA (bases 1-64)
Source: RNAcentral
CUUGGUCAGAGGAAGUAAAAGUCGUAACAAGGUUUCCGUAGGUGAACCUGCGGAAGGAUCAUUAACACGUAUCCAACGUAUACACCCCUGUGGUCCUGUGUGCGGCUCUAUAUGUAAGUGGUACAAACUACUUUGUGACUUGCGUAGUUACAAUGAAAAUUUUUUGACUACUACCAACUAACCCGCGUGGUUGGUGGAAUGUAUUCAGUAAAAUUAGUUACUACCAGUUUUCUGCGAGAAAACAGCUUCAUAUAGCAGACGUUUUAACCAAACCAUUACCAAAUUUGACUAAUUUAGAAAUAAGUAUGAUGCGCUCUGCUUUAUUUCGAAAUACGAAACGUUAACAACUCUUAACAACGGAUAUCUUGGUUCUC